Long non-coding RNA from Oncorhynchus masou masou (cherry salmon), 731 nucleotides. RefSeq lists it as uncharacterized. Lineage: Eukaryota; Metazoa; Chordata; Actinopteri; Salmoniformes; Salmonidae. The record is from RefSeq and is a predicted model, not a curated record. The transcript is spliced from 4 exons.
GUUAUGCAUGCUGGAGUAUUAAAAAGCUGUUGAAUUGUACUUUUUCUUUACUUUCACUGUGUUCACGGAAACAUUGCUCUGAUCUUGUCCCCUGGACCCUGGAGGACUUUUGGUGUGGAUGAUGUUCAGGAUCUACCAAAGCAAGGUUUCUCAAACAACUGUGGGGUGUUUGUUGUGAUGACGAUACUGAAAACAAAAUGCACGGCGAACUGGGAGCUGUAAACUGGGAAGCAGAUGUUCUUCAAAUUGACACCCUAGAGGCAGCAAGGUGGUGCGAACGACAAAACAUUUAAAGCCACCGUUUACCUCCCAGGUGUAAUUGGGAUGGACGGGGAAGACCGCAUUACAACCCUUAAAGAACUACGGUUGUAUGAUGGUCUGGAUGAAGAGGAACGUAUUAUCCUCUAGGAACCAUUCAUGUUCCAGCUACAGAGAGAUGAUGAGAUGUUAUAUGUGGAGGCAGUUGAUGUUCUAUGUGGAGGCAGUUGACAACAAGAAAAUGACUGUCUGCCUCUUUUGAGGAGCAGGAGUGAAGCCAUUUUUGAGGAGUGGUCAAACCGGGUUUUUGUCUGCUGUGUUAAUUGUUUCAAUUGUUAAUUGUGUUGUUUAGUAAAGAUGACGUAGAAGUCACCCAAGUCUCUGAUCUCUGUACUGGAGCUGGUAUAACUUCAUGUACAAAGCACAUUCAGGUUGUCAGUAUGGUAUAUUCUGUCACCAUUCUCAUGUGGAGU